This 3996-nucleotide long non-coding RNA is filed under the name Sus scrofa (pig). RNAcentral's name for it is "lncRNA (ENSSSCG00005014207.1)". The record is from RNAcentral. Lineage: Eukaryota; Metazoa; Chordata; Mammalia; Artiodactyla; Suidae.
AUUUUCUAGGGUUGUACCGUGGCACAUGGAGGUUCCCAGGCUAGGGGUCCAAUAGGAGCUGUAGCCACCAGUCUACACCAUAGCCACAGCAAUGCAGAAUCCAAGGUGUGUCUCUGAUCUACACCACAGCUCACAGCAAUGGCGGAUCAUUAACCCACAGAGUAAGGCCAGGGAUUGAAUCCACAACCUCGUGGUUCCUAGUUGGAUUUGUUAACCACCGAGCCGUGACGGGAACUCCUACUUUCUUUUACAAAGACAUCAAUAUUUAUGAUCUCACUGGUUUCACUAAUUCAACUAUCAUUUAGUGAACACCUACCUUGUGACAAGUUAUGCUAUAAGUACUGAAGAUAAAAAAUUAAAUAACACUCUGUCUUUUCCUCACACUAGAUGGUAGGUGCUCUCCUCAGAGCCUGCUGCAUCCCUCAGGGCCCCAGAGAUGCUGAUUUCUGAGUCCUCACUUCCUUAGGAGGGUAAUGUUCCCCUUGCCUUCCUUGCCUUUCAGGAUUAGAAGAUUGAGUUAUGGAGAUCUGAGUUCUGGUCUCUCUGGCAUCAGGCCAUUCUGAAAGGUCCUUUCCUUUCAGGCAGAAAACCGACAAAGUCAGGCACUUUGCUCUGAGGCUUUCAUUUGCGUUUCUAAGUUGAUUGCCUAAAACUGAGACCGCUUUCCCUGUGGGGAGAGGGAUGGACUGGGCUUCUUAAAGUGUGUGUGUGUGUGUGUGUGUGUGUGUGUGUGUGUGUGUGUGAGUGUGGGUGGGGUAAUAGGACCCUGUGUCCUUCUUUGAUGUUGUCCCCUUAGGGAGCCCUUAUUAGAGCCUUCUCUAGCCUUCUUCUCUCUAGUCCCUUGUAACUAGCUUCACCUCUGUCACUUUCUCCUUUCACUCCACUGGCCUCCAAGGUGUUUAGCCAGCCAAGCUUGCUCCCUCCUUAUGGCCUUUAUGUUCUGUGUCCCUUCUGUGUGGGCCACUCUCCCCUGAGUCAUGAGGUUAACCUCUGACUUCCUUCAGGUCUUUACUCACCUUCUCUGUGAGGCCUUCCAUGGCCACUCUUUCAAAACUGUCAGCCUUUCAUCCCGAUGCUCUAUACAUUUCCCUGCUCUACUAUGUCUCCUGAGCACUCACUAUUGUUUACUUAAUUUCUGCUAGAAACAGAGCGGAAUGGACAAUAAAAGACAGAUAAUCUCCAGGGGAACAUGGAUUUUUGUCUGUUUGUUUCUUUCUUUUUUUUCUUUUUACAGCUGCACCUGUGGCACAUGGAAGAUCCAGGGCUAGGGCCUGAAUCAAAGCUGCAGCUGAGCCCUAUGCCACAGCCAUGGCAACAUCUAAAACCUGUGCUGCAGCUUAUGGCAGUGCUGGAUCUUUAACACAGUGAGUGAGGCUAGGGUUCAAACCUGCAUCCUUACAGAGACUGUGCUGGGUCCUUAACUCCCUGAGCCACAAUAGGAACUCCUGUCUGUUUUUUUCAUACUCUGUCUUAUAGAAUAGUUCUUUGUACAUGGUACAUUCUUUAGUAAGUAUUUGUUAAGUGAAUGAAUAAUGACAAAAUUCCCUAAGUCUCAGCUAGACAAAUAGGAAGUAUAAUAAUCUCCUUCAUUUAAAUUGAUCAUAUGAUUUGGACAAUUGGAAUUUCAGUAGAAAUUCUUGACUUUAGGAUUGAAGACUCCCCUAAGCUUGUUGGCUAGUAUAGGGAAUCUUAGUAACAAAGGGCAUAAAGUCACAUAGUUUAUGAUAGUUUUAAUCAUAGUUUAUGAUUUUUUGAAGAUGAAGGAGAUGUGGCAUUUCUUGCAUCACAAUGUUUUGAGCAAAGUGUAGCCAGUUCACCUUGAGUGUGCACAAAAGCCAGCCUUGCCGCCUCCUGCUAGCUUUUGUCGGUGCAAGUAUGCCUGGCAGUUUGACUUGAGAAUGGCAUUAAGGACUUGCCAUGGUGCUGACAUGAGAAGUGAGAAAUGGCAAGUGCAUGGAACUAGCACAGGGAGCAAAGGGUCAGUGUUUCAAUACCAGCCAUGGCUUAGUUGAUAAGAUACUGCAAAUGAGUACUUCAUGUGUGUGUGUGAGUCUCUGUGUGUCACAUAAGAAGCAUAUAUUGUGUUAUGUGCACAAUGGCCAGUGAAUUUGAUGCCUCUUUUAUGGAUGCUAUUGGAUGUGUCAGCACUUCUUCCAUUCCCUUCUGUCUUGAGGUGUGUGGAAAUUUCUCCUGUGCCAUCCUUUACUUUGAUAAAGGAAUUGAAAAUAAGGUCUCCUCUCUUUGCUUUUGACUUCUCCAUUCAUAUAAUUGGUUUUCCUCCUUUGCUCAGUGCUCCCUAUGGUCACAUCAUAUUACAAAUUAUUAUAUAAUAAAAGUUGUUGCCUUGUAUUUUCUUUCCUACCUGUUUCCUACAGAACUUGGGAGAAAUAAAAGGAAUUGACCCAGGUUAAGAUGACAAAAAUAAUUAUCCCUCGUUUAAAAGAAGAAAAGUUUACAUUAAUAGACUAAUUCAAAUUUAUUUAAUUUUGCACAGAAUUAAAAAAAGCAUCUCACUGAAAAGUAACAUGAAAAAGAAUAUUAAAAUUCUUGAUAAGUUAAGGGGUUAGAAACUACCAUUUAUUGACUAUGUAUAGGGUACCAUCUAGAAAUUCAGUAACUGAGCUGAGAAAUUGAUGUUAUCCCAUUUUACAGGGAAAGAAACCAAGCUUCAGGGAUGUUAAUAAAUGCUAAGGACAUAUUAGUAGGAAGUGGGAGAGGCUGGAUUUGUAUUUAGAUGUGUCUGAUUCCAACUAAACUUUACUAUGCUGGUUUCCAACUGUCUUUAAAUUCAGAGUGUUCUUAAAAUUUCAGUACUGUACAUUCUAAAUUGAAAGCACUGUAUUUCAUUUCUAAGUAAGAUCAUCUUUUCCCUUUGCCAGAAAUAAUAUCUUUGAUUGCUCUAGCGCUUGGUUUGUAUGAAUUGCUUUCCUUGUUUUCUCAAUGCCAUGCAGGGAUUUAAAGUUCCUUGCUGUUAAAAACAGAGAUGAGUUACCUCAUUUUUGAAAUUCCUACACUGAGUUUCAAAAGCAAAAACAUGUCAUUAGGAGCUUAGGCUCAGAAUCUGAAUUUCAUCUUCUCUGCUUACUUACUGCAUAAUAGUGGCCACAUUCCUUAAUUAGGCUGUACCUCAAUAUCUCUAUCUGUAAAACAGAGGUAAUAUCAUCAAUAUAAAGAUUAAAAUAGUUAAUGUGUUAAUACAAUUAAAGUGCUUUUAAACAGAGCCUGACACACAAACAUCACCAAUAAAAUUUUUAUUUCUACCCAGGCAUGGCAAUCAUAAAGAGACAAUCAUUUUCAUUUUCUGGAACAUAGGAUAUUAGUUUCCUAAGGAUCCUUUCCUUCCAUGUCUUCCUGUUAACUAUCUGCUAGGGUUAUGCCAGCUGCGCAUGGUGCUUUUUCACUCAAGAGGAAGACAUCUGAAAAUAGGCCUGUCUGUCUCUUUUAUUUUUAAAUUCAUACAUUUGUAAUGAAAAAAGCAAACUGAUCAUCAUUGGAGGAUCUUAGUGGACCAACUCAGUAUUUUGAAAAUUGGUCAGUACAGCAACAUACUAAAGGCCUAUCCUUCAUUUCCUGUGUGGACUGUCCUACUAGAUAAUCAAUAGUAGAAAAGGAAUUAUUUCUUUUCACAGAAGAGUGCAUGGAUCUAGGCAUUGGACAUCAAUACCCCUAAGAUCAAAGAGAGACAUAGAUAGAUAGACAGAUAGAUAGAUAUAUAGAUAGAUAGAUUAUGUGAUUCCAUUUAAUUGAACAUACCAUCAAUAAAGUAGUCUUAUUAAACACUAUAAUUUAUGGAGUUCCCAUUGUGGCUCAGCAAUAACGAACCUGAUUAGUAUCCGUGAGGACAUGGGUUCAGUCCCUAGCCUUGCUCAGUGGGUUAAGGAUCUGAUGCUGCUGUGAGCUGUGGUGUAGGUUGCAGACAUGGUUUAGUGUUGCUUAGGCUGUGGUGUAGGCAGGCAGCUUCAGCUCUGAAUUGACCACUAACGUGGGAACUUCCAU